This 293-nucleotide long non-coding RNA is filed under the name Homo sapiens (human). RNAcentral describes it as "non-protein coding lnc-SPATS1-1:1". The record is from RNAcentral. Lineage: Eukaryota; Metazoa; Chordata; Mammalia; Primates; Hominidae.
CGCCGCGUUACUGGAGCCGGUGUCCCGGCAACCCCGGAACGCGCCUCUGUGGGAGAAGCAGGCGGCUGCGGUGUCCCUUUUGCCCUAGGCUCUCGGUUCUCAGGCCUCGGCGUGCGGCGUGCGUUCGGCAGUUCAGUUGCCAGUUGGUUCGUUGGUCCGUGGAGGCCUCUGAGCACAGACCCGGGCCUCCCCUGGGGAAGGGGGUGGGAAGACCCCGAGGUGGAAAAGAAGGAGCACCUUGAGCUGGAUGGGGGCUGCAGCGAGCCUGGUUCGGGCUGGGGGCGGACUCGCUG